This 793-nucleotide ribosomal RNA is filed under the name uncultured bacterium. RNAcentral's name for it is "bacterial SSU rRNA". It matches the Rfam family "Bacterial small subunit ribosomal RNA", at positions 8 to 796 of the family's 1533-position model. The record is from RNAcentral.
AGAGUUUGAUCCUGGCUCAGAUUGAACGCUGGCGGCAGGCCUAACACAUGCAAGUCGAGCGGAUGAGUGGAGCUUGCUCCAUGAUUCAGCGGCGGACGGGUGAGUAAUGCCUAGGAAUCUGCCUGGUAGUGGGGGACAACGUUUCGAAAGGAACGCUAAUACCGCAUACGUCCUACGGGAGAAAGCAGGGGACCUUCGGGCCUUGCGCUAUCAGAUGAGCCUAGGUCGGAUUAGCUAGUUGGUGAGGUAACGGCUCACCAAGGCGACGAUCCGUAACUGGUCUGAGAGGAUGAUCAGUCACACUGGAACUGAGACACGGUCCAGACUCCUACGGGAGGCAGCAGUGGGGAAUAUUGGACAAUGGGCGAAAGCCUGAUCCAGCCAUGCCGCGUGUGUGAAGAAGGUCUUCGGAUUGUAAAGCACUUUAAGUUGGGAGGAAGGGCAGUAAGUUAAUACCUUGCUGUUUUGACGUUACCGACAGAAUAAGCACCGGCUAACUUCGUGCCAGCAGCCGCGGUAAUACGAAGGGUGCAAGCGUUAAUCGGAAUUACUGGGCGUAAAGCGUGCGCAGGCGGUUUUGUAAGACAGAUGUGAAAUCCCCGGGCUCAACCUGGGAACUGCAUUUGUGACUGCAAGGCUAGAGUACGGCAGAGGGGGAUGGAAUUCCGCGUGUAGCAGUGAAAUGCGUAGAUAUGCGGAGGAACACCGAUGGCGAAGGCAAUCCCCUGGGCCUGUACUGACGCUCAUGCACGAAAGCGUGGGGAGCAAACAGGAUUAGAUACCCUGGUAGUCC